This is a non-coding RNA of Cricetulus griseus (Chinese hamster), 971 nucleotides long. The record is from RefSeq and is a predicted model, not a curated record. NCBI's taxonomy places the organism in Eukaryota, Metazoa, Chordata, Mammalia, Rodentia, Cricetidae.
CAGCACCUCAGGCCAGAUGUGCACCCCACACUAUUCCGGAGGAGGGCGGAGGCUGCGCAGCUUCUGUUCAUCCAGGGCUUUCCAGUACUUGAAGUUGUCGUCUAGGUGCUGCAUAAGGUCAGGACUCUGGUGAAUCACUAAAAUAAGUGACCAGCCCUGCACGUCUGGGAACAGGCCUACUAGGUGAUGGAUGACACAACCCUCUACACUGUUGGACUCCGCUUCUCUACACUCAUGGUCUUGAGAAACAGACCGUGGUGUCCCGUGGCACUGCCUUUGUCAGGCAUUGACAAUGGGAUGAUGUGAGACCAUUGCUUUUAGGAGAAACCUGCCAACCCAGGGUUCCAAAUCCAGCAAAGAUAUCCAAAGAGUGAAGACAAAGUAAAUGAAGACAAAGAUAAAGAACACAAUUUGUCAAAAUAAAUGUACAAAAUAAGAAAAGUUCUUUAAAGAUGGAAUCUAUUUCAGAGUUCUCUUUCCUAGUUUUAAGUCCAUAGCCUUAUGGUGUUCCCCCAUUCUAAGCGUGAGUGUGUGCGUGCACGCACGCAUGUUUGUGUAAAGACUUAAGAUAUAGCAUCUUACCUGUGAAAAAUACUCUUCUGAAAUUCGUGCAGCCCACUCGAUGCAGUACUCUAAGGGCCGGCAGGGGUUGGACACAUCUGCACACUUAAUCAUUAUUCGUUUGAUAAGGGCCCGGUUCUCUGGAGUCCUGAGCAUAGUGUUCAUGACUUCCUGAUUAUUGCCAGUUUCCUGAACCACCAGAGAAAUCAAAGCAAUCAAAAUGGUGUCUUCAGGCCCACCACCUAACCUUGGGUUCUGUGAGCCAGGAAGGGCUGUUGCUGGGAUCUACAGUGCUGAAGGCGUCACACAGCAGGGCACUGAGCACCUUUCUUUCUACAAGGAGGAAGCUCAGCAGGGCUCAUCAGCACUGGGGACUGGAAAACCUGCCCUUCUUUUCUCUCUAUCUCUCU